UAAACGGUUUUUUUUAAAACCACAACCACAACAGCAACUACAAUA
Molecule: non-coding RNA, 45 nt
Organism: Populus trichocarpa (black cottonwood)
Lineage: Eukaryota; Viridiplantae; Streptophyta; Magnoliopsida; Malpighiales; Salicaceae
Source: Rfam